Molecule: long non-coding RNA, 367 nt
Filed under: Ananas comosus (pineapple)
Lineage: Eukaryota; Viridiplantae; Streptophyta; Magnoliopsida; Poales; Bromeliaceae
Description: long non-coding RNA (ACOM_LNC003905)
Source: RNAcentral
UUGAUGGAUUCUUAUGUUAUGCUGAUUGAACUGUCUGAUUCAUGGUAGAGCGGAGCUCCAAAGGGCUUGAGGCAAAUAAAGCACUCCAGAUAGUGCAAAUCAAUCUUAACGCCUCGUUGCUGGAUCUACCCUUCCGAACGACCUUCCUCCUCGUCGCAGUCUCCUUCGGCAGUCUCCUCCUCGCAGUCUCCUCCUCGCAAUCUCCUCCUCGUAGUCUCCUGCGGAAGUCUCCCCUGGCCUAUACCUGUUACCUUAGGCUAUGUGCGCGUGGAAUUGCAGACAAGCUUUGAUGAUUACAUAUUUCUGUUAAGUAAUUAUAUUAUGUUCAGUUUGUUAUAGUUGAUGUAAUAGAAUUUUGCAUUGUAGG